Long non-coding RNA from Sitophilus oryzae (rice weevil), 573 nucleotides. RefSeq lists it as uncharacterized. Lineage: Eukaryota; Metazoa; Arthropoda; Insecta; Coleoptera; Curculionidae. The transcript has 3 exons. The record is from RefSeq and is a predicted model, not a curated record.
AUGUUCUAAAUGUGAGUGCUUAAUGUCAAAAAUUAAAAUAUAUACUUGAAAUAUUGGUAUAUUAUUUCAAGUUAUACCCUUUGCCCUUUGGAAGUAAACAAAUAUUGAAGAAAGUGCUGUGCCUUCACAGGAUUUAAAUUGGCAUUAGGAAUAGAUUUCCUUGAUUUAGUAAUGAUAUUGCUCAUAGAAAUUGAUAAUAUACUAUUUUAUAUUCACUCGUUCAAGUGCUGAUCUAUUUUCAAAUUGAAUAUUUAUUUUUAUUCAAAUAUAUUGAAAUUAAUAUGGAAAGAAAAGUUCAUAAAUAUUAUUCUUAAUAACAAGAAUUGAGAUUUGGGGAUAAGUUUGAAAAGCCAUGUCAGAAGAGUAGGAUUAAAGACAAAGUAUUAAGAGUAAUUGGGCUGUUCCUGAACAAUAUUGAAUAUAAAUAUUCAAAAAUAUGAUUGAUAACUGCAUAUCCUACUAAGUAGAUCAAUACCAAAAUCCCAUUAGAGAAAUAAGUUAAAAUUAUGUUUUACUUGUAUAAUUUUCUUGCUAUUUGUCCACCAUUAUUUGUGAGUUAGAAAUUAAAUAGUC